AAAACCAAUGCCCUUCGGGGCUCCUUGGUGAAUCAUAAUAACUUAACGAAUCGCAUGGCCUUGCGCCGGCGAUGGUUCAUUCAAAUUUCUGCCCUAUCAACUUUCGACGGCUGGAUCUUGGCCUACCGUGGUAUCAACGGGUAACGGGGAAUUAGGGUUCGACUCCGGAGAGGGAGCCUGAGAAACGGCUACCACAUCCAAGGAAGGCAGCAGGCGCGCAAAUUACCCAAUCCCGACACGGGGAGGUAGUGACAAUAAAUACUGAUACAGGGCUCUUUUGGGUCUUGUAAUUGGAAUGAGUACAAUUUAAAUCCCUUAACGAGGAACAAUUGGAGGGCAAGUCUGGUGCCAGCAGCCGCGGUAAUUCCAGCUCCAAUAGCGUAUAUUAAAGUUGUUGAGGUUAAAAAGCUCGUAGUUGAACCUUGGGCCUGGCCGGCCGGUCCGCCUCACCGCGUGCACUGGUCCGGCCGGGCCCUUCCCUCUGCGGAACCGCAUGUCCUUCACUGGGCGUGUCGGGGAGGCAGGACUUUUACUUUGAAAAAAUUAGAGUGCUCAAGGCAGGCCAAUGCUCGAAUACAUUAGCAUGGAAUAAUAGAAUAGGACGUGCGGUUCUAUUUUGUUGGUUUCUAGGACCGCCGUAAUGAUUAAUAGGGACAGUCGGGGGCAUCAGUAUUCAAUCGUCAGAGGUGAAAUUCUUGGAUUGAUUGAAGACUAACUACUGCGAAAGCAUUUGCCAAGGAUGUUUUCAUUA
This 751-nucleotide ribosomal RNA is filed under the name Phaeoisaria clematidis. Its description in RNAcentral is "SSU rRNA". It matches the Rfam family "Eukaryotic small subunit ribosomal RNA", at positions 218 to 975 of the family's 1831-position model. The record is from RNAcentral. Lineage: Eukaryota; Fungi; Ascomycota; Sordariomycetes; Pleurotheciales; Pleurotheciaceae.